AACUAACGCUGGCGGCAGGCUUAACACAUGCAAGUCGAACGCCCCGCAAGGGGAGUGGCAGACGGGUGAGUAACGCGUGGGAACAUACCCUUUUCUACGGAAUAGCUCUGGGAAACUGGAAUUAAUACCGUAUACGCCCUACGGGGGAAAGAUUUAUCGGGGAAGGAUUGGCCCGCGUUGGAUUAGCUAGUUGGUGGGGUAAAGGCCUACCAAGGCGACGAUCCAUAGCUGGUCUGAGAGGAUGAUCAGCCACAUUGGGACUGAGACACGGCCCAAACUCCUACGGGAGGCAGCAGUGGGGAAUAUUGGACAAUGGGCGCAAGCCUGAUCCAGCCAUGCCGCGUGAGUGAUGAAGGCCUUAGGGUUGUAAAGCUCUUUCACCGAUGAAGAUAAUGACGGUAGUCGGAGAAGAAGCCCCGGCUAACUUCGUG
This 431-nucleotide ribosomal RNA is filed under the name uncultured bacterium. Its description in RNAcentral is "partial 16S ribosomal RNA". It matches the Rfam family "Bacterial small subunit ribosomal RNA", at positions 29 to 507 of the family's 1533-position model. The record is from RNAcentral.